AUUGAACGCUGGCGGCGUGCCUUACACAUGCAAGUCGAACGGCAGCACGGGAGCAAUCCUGGUGGCGAGUGGCGAACGGGUGAGUAAAGUAUCGGAACGUGCCCAGUCGCGGGGGAUAACGUAGCGAAAGUUACGCUAAUACCGCAUACGAACUAUGGAUGAAAGCGGGGGAUCGCAAGACCUCGCGCGAUUGGAGCGGCCGAUAUCAGAUUAGGUAGUUGGUUGGGUAAAGGCCCACCAAGCCGACGAUCUGUAGCUGGUCUGAGAGGACGACCAGCCACACUGGGACUGAGACACGGCCCAGACUCCUACGGGAGGCAGCAGUGGGGAAUUUUGGACAAUGGGCGAAAGCCUGAUCCAGCCAUGCCGCGUGCAGGAUGAAGGCCUUCGGGUUGUAAACUGCUUUUGUACGGAACGAAAAGGACUGCCCUAAUACGGUGGUCCCAUGACGGUACCGUAAGAAUAAGCACCGGCUAACUACGUGCCAGCCGCCGCAGUAA
This 500-nucleotide ribosomal RNA is filed under the name uncultured bacterium. RNAcentral's name for it is "partial 16S ribosomal RNA". It matches the Rfam family "Bacterial small subunit ribosomal RNA", at positions 30 to 523 of the family's 1533-position model. The record is from RNAcentral.